GGUAGCUCAGUGGCAGAGCAAUCGGCUGUUAACCGAUCGGUCGUUGGUUCGAAUCCAACC
RNAcentral lists this transfer RNA (60 nucleotides) under uncultured Balneola sp. It matches the Rfam family "tRNA", at positions 7 to 64 of the family's 71-position model. Rfam says of the family: Transfer RNA (tRNA) molecules are approximately 80 nucleotides in length. Lineage: Bacteria; Pseudomonadati; Balneolota; Balneolia; Balneolales; Balneolaceae. The record is from RNAcentral. RNAcentral also lists the same sequence under 1 other name.